This 424-nucleotide ribosomal RNA is filed under the name uncultured bacterium. RNAcentral's name for it is "bacterial SSU rRNA". It matches the Rfam family "Bacterial small subunit ribosomal RNA", at positions 358 to 774 of the family's 1533-position model. The record is from RNAcentral.
GGAAUUUUGGACAAUGGGGGCAACCCUGAUCCAGCCAUGCCGCGUGAGUGAAGAAGGCCUUCGGGUUGUAAAGCUCUUUCAGACGGAAAGAAACGGUCACGGUCAAUACCCGUGACUAAUGACGGUACCGUCAGAAGAAGCACCGGCUAACUACGUGCCAGCAGCCGCGGUAAUACGUAGGGUGCGAGCGUUAAUCGGAAUUACUGGGCGUAAAGCGUGCGCAGGCGGUUUGGCAAGACAGACGUGAAAUCCCCGGGCUUAACCCGGGAACUGCGUUUGUGACUGCCAGGCUAGAGUGCGGCAGAGGGGGGUAGAAUUCCACGUGUAGCAGUGAAAUGCGUAGAUAUGUGGAGGAAUACCGAUGGCGAAGGCAGCCCCCUGGGUCGACACUGACGCUCAUGCACGAAAGCGUGGGGAGCAAACA